This 426-nucleotide ribosomal RNA is filed under the name uncultured bacterium. RNAcentral's name for it is "bacterial SSU rRNA". It matches the Rfam family "Bacterial small subunit ribosomal RNA", at positions 354 to 796 of the family's 1533-position model. The record is from RNAcentral.
GUCGGGAAUAUUGCCCAAUGCGCGAAAGCGUGAGGCAGCAACGCCGCGUGCGCGAUGAAGGCCUUCGGGUCGUAAAGCGCUUUUCGGGAGGAUGAGAGCGGACAGUACUCCCGGAAUCAGGUACGGCUAACUACGUGCCAGCAGCCGCGGUAAAACGUAGGUACCGAGCGUUAUCCGGAUUUACUGGGCGUAAAGCGCGUUCAGGCGGUUUGGCAAGUCGGGCAUGAAAUCCUUCGGCUCAACCGGGGGAGGUUGUCCGAUACUGCCGGACUGGAGGGCAGUAGAGGGUGGUGGAAUUCCGGGUGUAGUGGUGAAAUGCGUAGAGAUCCGGAGGAACACCAGUGGCGUAAGCGGCCACCUGGACUGUACCUGACGCUCAAACGCGAAAGCUAGGGGAGCGAACGGGAUUAGAAACCCUAGUAGUCC